RNAcentral lists this non-coding RNA (186 nucleotides) under Eubacterium sp. RNAcentral also lists the same sequence under 1 other name. Lineage: Bacteria; Bacillati; Bacillota; Clostridia; Eubacteriales; Eubacteriaceae. The record is from RNAcentral.
AAUUUCAUAUCAGUAUAUGGUUUGACAGAAUUAUAUUCGUGUCGAUUAAUAGGGAAUUCGGUUAGAACCCGAAGCAGUCACCACUACUGUAAUGCAGACGAGAAAGCAAUAUGUCACUGGGAAACCGGGAAGGCGCUUUUAAGGAUGAAGCUGAGUCAGGAGACCUGCCAUAUAUGCGGUUUAAAU